GAUGAACGCUGGCGGCGUGCCUAAUACAUGCAAGUCGAGCGAACAGAUGAGGAGCUUGCUCCUCUGACGUUAGCGGCGGACGGGUGAGUAACACGUGGAUAACCUACCUAUAAGACUGGGAUAACUUCGGGAAACCGGAGCUAAUACCGGAUAAUAUAUUGAACCGCAUGGUUCAAUAGUGAAAGACGGGUUUGCUGUCACUUAUAGAUGGAUCCGCGCCGCAUUAGCUAGUUGGUAAGGUAACGGCUUACCAAGGCAACGAUGCGUAGCCGACCUGAGAGGGUGAUAGGCCACACUGGAACUGAGACACGGUCCAGACGCCUACGGGAGGCAGCAGUAGGGAAUCUUCCGCAAUGGGCGAAAGCCUGACGGAGCAACGCCGCGUGAGUGAUGAAGGUCUUCGGAUCGUAAAACUCUGUUAUUAGGGAAGAACAAAUGUGUAAGUAACUAUGCACGUCUUGACGGUACCUAAUCAGAAAGCCACGGCUAACUACGUG
This 497-nucleotide ribosomal RNA is filed under the name uncultured bacterium. RNAcentral describes it as "partial 16S ribosomal RNA". It matches the Rfam family "Bacterial small subunit ribosomal RNA", at positions 28 to 507 of the family's 1533-position model. The record is from RNAcentral.